CCCUAGCCCAGACAGGAGCGGCAUCCUUUUGUUGUGGGGUUCACAACAAAAGAUACAGCGGAUAGCUGGAAACAGC
Molecule: small RNA, 76 nt
Filed under: Flavobacterium aquidurense
Lineage: Bacteria; Pseudomonadati; Bacteroidota; Flavobacteriia; Flavobacteriales; Flavobacteriaceae
Description: Flavo-1 RNA
Rfam family: Flavo-1 RNA
Source: RNAcentral